RNAcentral lists this ribosomal RNA (497 nucleotides) under uncultured bacterium. Its description in RNAcentral is "partial 16S ribosomal RNA". It matches the Rfam family "Bacterial small subunit ribosomal RNA", at positions 28 to 507 of the family's 1533-position model. The record is from RNAcentral.
GAUGAACGCUGGCGGCGUGCCUAAUACAUGCAAGUCGAGCGAACAGAUAAGGAGCUUGCUCCUUUGACGUUAGCGGCGGACGGGUGAGUAACACGUGGGUAACCUACCUAUAAGACUGGAAUAACUCCGGGAAACCGGGGCUAAUGCCGGAUAACAUUUAGAACCGCAUGGUUCUAAAGUUAAAGAUGGUUUUGCUAUCACUUAUAGAUGGACCCGCGCCGUAUUAGCUAGUUGGUAAGGUAACGGCUUACCAAGGCAACGAUACGUAGCCGACCUGAGAGGGUGAUCGGCCACACUGGAACUGAGACACGGUCCAGACUCCUACGGGAGGCAGCAGUAGGGAAUCUUCCGCAAUGGGCGAAAGCCUGACGGAGCAACGCCGCGUGAGCGAUGAAGGUCUUCGGAUCGUAAAACUCUGUUAUUAGGGAAGAACAAAUGUGUAAGUAACUGUGCACGUCUUGACGGUACCUAAUCAGAAAGCCACGGCUAACUACGUG